UCUAGCUAAGCAUUUGGGCUAUUUUCCUUGCUCGUGGCUAGCUUUAUCGCACAGAUCUGGAAAGUUAACUCAAUUCCCUCAAAGAUCCACCAAAACCCCAUAGUCUACAAUACAAUACACAGCUCUAGUGCUUAGAAUUUCUUAUCUGAUGUUAUUCCUGCGAAAAAUUUAGCUAGCAAAUGGAUUCUUCGUUACCUUUCCUCGCCCCUACAAUCUAGCAUGUCUUUGAUUUUUGGGUUCGACAACUGUAUUCUUCUCUGGCGGAUCUAGUCUCAGUACGGCACUGAUCCAAUGUUGAGGUUAAAUCUGUUUUUUCGUGUUAUACAUACUGAGUAAGACUACCUAUAGUGUAUGAGUGCACAGAAGCUUCAGUGUCCAAGUCAAACAUAAAGUCUGUAUAAUACCAAUGCUGUUUUCUUGCCCUAGGGUUGCAGUUUCCACUUCCUGAUAGGUAUGUCGUAUGCUUGUGUUCAUUGGAGAAAUCCGAGUGGCAAGAAUGAGCAUUGUUCUUCAGUAUACGCAGGGCUUCAAUCUUGGCAGAGUUUGUAUUGAAUAUUGAGACUUGUUAGUGUUUGUAUUGAAGAGAAUGUGAAGUAUAUAUAGGACUUUAGAUCUGAUUUCUGCCCUUUCGUUUACUAACAAAAGGUUUCAAACGAUUAGUUGCAAUUAAUUAUCUUGGAAAAAAGAAUCCGGCUAAUGGGUUUAAUUAUGUAAA
Ipomoea nil (Japanese morning glory) is the source of this 715-nucleotide long non-coding RNA. RefSeq lists it as uncharacterized. NCBI's taxonomy places the organism in Eukaryota, Viridiplantae, Streptophyta, Magnoliopsida, Solanales, Convolvulaceae. The record is from RefSeq and is a predicted model, not a curated record. The transcript has 3 exons.